GAGCGCCGCUCGAUAGAAAAUCGCCUUAUUUAUCAACGUGAGCCAUAAGCAAACUAACUUUCGUCUUCGUUGAAAUAAGCCGGCGUUUAUUCUCCAAUCGGUUUGGUUAAAUUAGAAGGUUGAGUCGGUAUAUAAUCACACAAUGUCUUUCUAUGGUCAUGUGCUCCCUCUAUACAUCUUGGUUAAUAAUCUUCCCCACGUAAGCGCAAAGACGCCUCUUUACGUAGGAGCCUUAUUUCCUCUGACGUCAGAACACAAUGACGGAUGGACAGGCGGUAAUGGUAUUUUACCAGCUGCGCAAAUGGCGCUCGAUGACGUGAAUAGAGGCGGAGUAUUAAAGGACUAUGAGCUAAGAAUGAUUUGGAACGAUACCAAAGGUUCACCUGGCUGGGCAGAACAUAUCCUUUUUGAAUUUCUUCAUAAAAAGCCUCGUAAAAUCAUGUUCCUUGGAGCUGGGUUCUCGUCGUGUAGCACGGUGGUUGCAGCUCUGGCUGGACUUGACCAAUGGGCAAUACCACAGAUAUCGUAUUCCAGUACAUCACCUGAGCUGUCUGAUAAAAAGAACUAUCCGUAUUUUUACCGUACGAUACCAGAUGACACUUCAUUAAACGAACCCCGGAUCGCAUUACUGAAAACGUUCAAAUGGAGUCAUGUCGGUACCAUCUUUCAGGAGGAGGACAUACACAGAACGGCUGUAACUGAUCUUCAUACCCUGUUUCUGGAGAAUGGUAUCGUUAAACUUUCUUCCGAGAGUUUCAGAGAGGAUGCGCAUGCCCAGGUGGAGAAUAUGAAGAAAAGAGGAGCAAGAAUCAUCCUGGCUAACUUUUUUGGUAAAGGCGCUCGACAAGUGUUUUGCGAGGCGUACAAACUGCGCAUGUACGGUGCAAAGUACGUUUGGAUUCUCCUUGGGUAUAUAGAGAAAAACUGGUGGCUAUUCAACGACUCCAGUAUCACUUGUACGUCACAGCAGUUGUUUGAGGCUAUGGAUGGUCACCUAGCAACAGACUACUUGUGGAGUACUGGGUCAGAAGCAAAAACAGUCUAUGGAAAGACGGUUAAAGAUUUCCAAGUUGAAUACGAAGCCAAAGUCCCUCUAGAAUCACGAGAUGUUCACCGUGGUUACGCAUAUGACGCUGUGUGGGCCGUAGCCCUUGCGCUGAAUAGGACCAUCCCUCAACUUUCCCCUACCACGCGUUUAGAUAAUGUACCAUAUGGAAACAAGUCCCUAUCAGUUGCACUUACUAAAGCUCUUCGAGGAACCAACUUUUCAGGGGUAACGGGCCCCGUUGGUUUCACCAGCGAAGGAAACAGAGCUGGAGACACACAAAUAGUUCAAAUGAAAGAUGGGCGGUACGUAACCGUUGGGCUCUAUCGCAUCAACACGGGUGAGAUAACUUGGGACGACUACGAGCCUAUCACAUGGAAAGGAGGAUCGCCCCCAAGGGACAAAACCAAGCUGGUGUAUGAGUUGAUGUCAGUAUCUGUUCCACUGUUUACAUUUAUGGCGGUACUAACGUCACUGGCUAUAAUCAUCUCUCUGUUCUUUUUGUGGUUUAACAUUACUAAGAGAAAUGUCAGGUUCAUCAAGAUGUCUAGUCCUAAUCUGAACAACUCUGUUCUACUGGGUUGCACGUUAAGUUACAUCUCAGUGUUUCUGUUUGGUUUGGAUGGCGGAUUUAUCUCCAGUGGUUACGAGAUGAUAUGCGCGAGCAGAGCCUGGACCCUCUCUCUUGGCUUCAGUCUUGCAUAUGGCGCCAUGUUUUCCAAGACCUGGCGAGUACAUUUGAUAUUUACCAACAAAAAAUUAAAACGAAAGGUUGUAAAAGACCGACAUCUAUUUGCCGUUGUCUGUCUUCUUGUAACUGCUGACGUCAUCUACCUCACGGUCUGGCAACUGAUGGAUCCUAUGACGAGAAUUGUGCGUGAGUUUGUGAAAGAGUCGUUAGAUUCCGAUUUGGACAUUACUUUAGUGAAGCAGCUGGAGCUGUGCGAAUCUCGAUUAACAUACCGCUGGCUUGGUGUGUUGUGUGGCUACAAAGGACUUCUAUUGUUAUUUGGGGCGUUCCUUGCAUGGGAAACAAGAAACGUUUCAAUACCUGCGCUAAAUGAUUCCAAGUACAUUGGUAUGUCUGUGUACAACGUGUUUAUCCUGUGCGUUAUUGGUGCGCCGAUAUCAUUGGCCAUGAGGGAAGAACCAGAUGCUUCGUUUUCUAUUAUCUCUGUUUGCAUUAUCAUCUGUACCUCUAUUACUCUGUGUCUUGUGUUCAUACCGAAGGUGCUAGAAAUGAAACGUGCUAGACUGGUUGGUGAGGAAUUGUGCCGAACGUUUACCACCAAUAACUUAAUUAUUGAAACAAACAACACUAUGCCAACAAUGGAUAUCGAGACAGAACGACAACUGAUGGAACUCAAGAGGAAAAUGGCUGAGGUAACUAACCCUAUAAAGAACAUUGAUGGUUCAAUGCUAUCAAAGUAAAACCAGAGCAAUCGCAGAAUCCGAUCACAGGAAUGGAAAAUACACAAGGAGCGAAUGGAACAAAAAGACAAAGAAAUCAGGGAACUGAGGCUUCGCUUAAUGAACUCUCCCAGCGGGGGUAAACAAUCCCACAAGAUACAAA
Unclassified non-coding RNA from Pocillopora damicornis (cauliflower coral), 2618 nucleotides. The record is from RefSeq and is a predicted model, not a curated record. NCBI's taxonomy places the organism in Eukaryota, Metazoa, Cnidaria, Anthozoa, Scleractinia, Pocilloporidae.